CCCUAAAGAAGAAAGUCGCAAGACGCCGAGAGAGGAGCCCGCGGCCGAUUAGCUAGUUGGUAGGGUAAAAGCCUACCAAGGCUAUGAUCGGUAACCGGCCUGAGAGGGCACACGGCCACACUGGCACUGAAACACGGGCCAGACUCCUACGGGAGGCAGCAGUGGGGAAUCUUGCACAAUGGGGGAAACCCUGAUGCAGCGACGCCGCGUGAGUGAUGAAGCCCUUCGGGGUGUAAAGCUCUUUCGACAGGAACGAUAAUGACGGUACCUGGAGAAGAAGCUGCGGCUAACUACGUGCCAGCAGCCGCGGUUAUACGUAGGCAGCAAACGUUGUUCGGAAUUACUGGGCCGUAAAGAGUGUGUAGGCGGUUUUGUAAAGUUUGGUGUGAAAUCUUCCGGCUUAACUGGGA
RNAcentral lists this ribosomal RNA (410 nucleotides) under uncultured bacterium. RNAcentral describes it as "bacterial SSU rRNA". It matches the Rfam family "Bacterial small subunit ribosomal RNA", at positions 192 to 618 of the family's 1533-position model. The record is from RNAcentral.